This 254-nucleotide unclassified non-coding RNA is filed under the name uncultured Acidimicrobiia bacterium. Its description in RNAcentral is "contains 16S-23S intergenic spacer region". It matches the Rfam family "Bacterial small subunit ribosomal RNA", at positions 524 to 776 of the family's 1533-position model. The record is from RNAcentral. Lineage: Bacteria; Bacillati; Actinomycetota; Acidimicrobiia.
UACGUAGGGGGCGAGCGUUGUCCGGAUUUAUUGGGCGUAAAGAGCUCGUAGGCGGCUCAGUAAGUCGGGUGUGAAAUCUCCAAGCUCAACUUGGAGGGGCCACUCGAUACUGCUGUGGCUAGAGUCCGGUAGGGGAGUGGGGAAUUCCCGGUGUAGCGGUGAAAUGCGCAGAUAUCGGGAGGAACACCGGUGGCGAAGGCGCCACUCUGGGCCGGCACUGACGCUGAGGAGCGAAAGCGUGGGGAGCGAACAGG